CGGCGAGCGAGCGGGAAGAGCUCAAAUUUAUAAUCUGGCACCUUCGGUGUCCGAGUUGUAAUCUCUAGAAAUGUUUUCCGCGUUGGACCGCACACAAGUCUGUUGGAAUACAGCGGCAUAGUGGUGAGACCCCCGUAUAUGGUGCGGACGCCCAGCGCUUUGUGAUACAUUUUCGAAGAGUCGAGUUGUUUGGGAAUGCAGCUCAAAUUGGGUGGUAAAUUCCAUCUAAAGCUAAAUAUUGGCGAGAGACCGAUAGCGAACAAGUACCGUGAGGGAAAGAUGAAAAGCACUUUGGAAAGAGAGUUAACAGUACGUGAAAUUGUUGGAAGGGAAACGCUUGAAGUCAGACUUGCUUGCUGAGCAAUCGGUUUGCAGGCCAGCAUCAGUUUUCCGGGAUGGAUAAUGGUAGAGAGAAGGUAGCAGUUUCGGCUGUGUUAUAGCUCUCUGCUGGAUACAUCUUGGGGGACUGAGGAACGCAGUGUGCCUUUGGCGGGGGUUUCGACCUCUUCACACUUAGGAUGCUGGUGGAAUGGCUUUAAACGACCCGUCUUGA
RNAcentral lists this ribosomal RNA (553 nucleotides) under Rhodotorula mucilaginosa. RNAcentral describes it as "LSU rRNA". It matches the Rfam family "Eukaryotic large subunit ribosomal RNA", at positions 87 to 657 of the family's 3401-position model. Lineage: Eukaryota; Fungi; Basidiomycota; Microbotryomycetes; Sporidiobolales; Sporidiobolaceae. The record is from RNAcentral.